AUUUCAAUGGUAUCAUAGUUUCUACCUUCCGGGGUUGCCUAAGACUUACGAAAUUCACUAACCGAUGAUGACGGUUUAAGGAGAUGCAAUACAAAUUUCCGUUGUUGAUGUCCAAUUCCAUAUGCAUUUUUAUGGCUAUAACUUAUAUCAAAUUUUAAUAUGAUAGAAUCAAUAAAAAUGAUUUUGGCUUAGCUAAAAGAUUAUUAAAAAAAAAAUCCAUAGGCCAUAACCCACAAAAAAGAAAAACUUAAUUAUAUACGAGUGCUUAACCAUAACCCUAAAGCUAUCUUUAAACUUUGUUGGAUCCAACUCUAUGAUGGAGGAGAGCCAGUUUCUGAUUAUACCGUCG
RNAcentral lists this long non-coding RNA (349 nucleotides) under Capsella rubella. RNAcentral's name for it is "long non-coding RNA (CRUB_LNC001423)". The record is from RNAcentral. Lineage: Eukaryota; Viridiplantae; Streptophyta; Magnoliopsida; Brassicales; Brassicaceae.